RNAcentral lists this ribosomal RNA (416 nucleotides) under uncultured bacterium. RNAcentral's name for it is "bacterial SSU rRNA". It matches the Rfam family "Bacterial small subunit ribosomal RNA", at positions 88 to 518 of the family's 1533-position model. The record is from RNAcentral.
UCCUAGCGGGGACCCCGGGUGAGUAGCACGUGGGCAACCUGCCUCAUAGAGAGGAAUAGCCUUCCGAAAGGGAGAUUAAUACCUCAUAACAUUGCAGUUUCGCAUGAAACAGCAAUUAAAGGAGCAAUCCGCUAUGAGAUGGGCCCGCGGCGCAUUAGCUAGUUGGUGAGGUAACGGCUCACCAAGGCGACGAUGCGUAGCCGACCUGAGAGGGUGAUCGGCCACAUUGGGACUGAGACACGGCCCAGACUCCUACGGGAGGCAGCAGUGGGGAAUAUUGCACAAUGGGGGAAACCCUGAUGCCAGCAACGCCGCGUGAGUGAUGACGGCCUUCGGGUUGUAAAGCUCUGUCUUCAGGGACGAUAACUGACGGUACCUGAGGAGGAAGCCACGGCUAACUACGUGCCAGCCGCCGC